UACCAGCUCUCCGAGUGGUAGGGAUGAUUAUUGGGCUUAAAGCGUUCGUAGCCGGCUUAGCAAGUCUCCUGUUAAAUUCAGCGACCUAAUCGUUGAGCCGCGGGAGAUACUACUAGGCUAGGAGGCGGGAGAGGUCGACGGUACUUCUGGGGUAGGGGUGAAAUCCUAUAAUCCCGGGAGGACCACCAGUGGCGAAGGCUGUCGACUAGAACGCGCUCGACGGUGAGGGACGAAAGCUGGGGGAGCGAACCGGAUUAGAUACCCGGGUAGUCCCAGCUGUAAACGAUGCGGGCUAGGUGUUGGGGUGGCUACGUGCCACUUCAGUGCCGCAGGGAAGCCAUUAAGCCCGCCGCCUGGGGAGUACGGCCGCAAGGCUGAAACUUAAAGGAAUUGGCGGGGGAGCACCACAAGGCGUGAAGCUUGCGGUUC
Molecule: ribosomal RNA, 429 nt
Filed under: uncultured archaeon
Lineage: Archaea
Description: bacterial SSU rRNA
Rfam family: Archaeal small subunit ribosomal RNA
Source: RNAcentral